GCGCACCAGGCGAGAAACUUUACAAUGUGCGAAAGCACGAUAAGGGAACUCUGAGUGCCUCCUAAGGAGGCUGUUCAGGUGUCUAAAAGCACCUGAAGGAAGGGCUGGGUAAGACCGGUGCCAGCCGCCGCGGUAACACCGGCAGCCCAAGUGGUAGCCACGUUUAUUGGGUCUAAAGCGUCCGUAGCCGGCUGGGUAAGUUCCUUGGGAAAUUUGGCUGCUUAACAGUCAAGCUUUCAGGGAAUACUGCCCGGCUUGGGACCGGGAGAGGUCAGAGGUACUCCAGGGGUAGGGUGAAAUCCAUUAAUCCUUGGGGGACCACCGGUAGCGAAGGCGUCUGACCAGACCGGGUCCGACGGUGAGGGACGAAGGCUAGGGGGCGCGAACCGGAUUAGUACCCCCGUAGU
This 407-nucleotide ribosomal RNA is filed under the name uncultured microorganism. Its description in RNAcentral is "bacterial SSU rRNA". It matches the Rfam family "Archaeal small subunit ribosomal RNA", at positions 330 to 745 of the family's 1478-position model. The record is from RNAcentral.